RNAcentral lists this ribosomal RNA (274 nucleotides) under uncultured bacterium. RNAcentral's name for it is "partial 16S ribosomal RNA". It matches the Rfam family "Bacterial small subunit ribosomal RNA", at positions 523 to 796 of the family's 1533-position model. The record is from RNAcentral.
AUACAGAGGGUGCAAGCGUUAAUCGGAAUUACUGGGCGUAAAGCGUACGUAGGCGGUUGGUUAAGUUAGAUGUGAAAGCCCCGGGCUUAACCUGGGAACUGCAUUUAAAACUGGCGAACUAGAGUUGAGUAGAGGGGAGUGGAAUUUCAGGUGUAGCGGUGAAAUGCGUAGAGAUCUGAAGGAACACCAGUGGCGAAGGCGACUCCCUGGACUCGAACUGACGCUGAGGUACGAAAGCGUGGGUAGCAAACAGGAUUAGAUACCCUAGUAGUCC